GGAGAGGUGCCCGAGUGGAUGAAGGGGUACGCCUGGAGAGCGUAUGUAGGGGUGACUCUACCAUGGGUUCGAAUCCCAUCCU
RNAcentral lists this transfer RNA (82 nucleotides) under Elusimicrobiota bacterium. RNAcentral's name for it is "Elusimicrobia bacterium (aquatic metagenome) tRNA-Ser". It matches the Rfam family "tRNA". Rfam says of the family: Transfer RNA (tRNA) molecules are approximately 80 nucleotides in length. Their secondary structure includes four short double-helical elements and three loops (D, anti-codon, and T loops). The record is from RNAcentral. Lineage: Bacteria; Pseudomonadati; Elusimicrobiota.